Molecule: long non-coding RNA, 307 nt
Organism: Diceros bicornis minor
Lineage: Eukaryota; Metazoa; Chordata; Mammalia; Perissodactyla; Rhinocerotidae
Exons: 3
Source: RefSeq, a predicted model, not a curated record
CUGCCCUGCUAGCCUUGGCUCCGCGGAGCCUGAGAUCCCGGCGGGCGCCUCCGCCCGUCGCCAGCUGAGCCCUGGCACCCCGGACCCAAGGCCAUGGUGCUCCGUGGGCGGGAAUGUGCCAGGAGGACCGCACAGAGAGCACAGAUGGGCACCCUGGGCUCGAUCUUCUCACCUGGGGCGGGCAGGUGCUCCACCACCCUCUCGCCCUCUUUCAUCCACACGUGCGCCAGAGCCACAUCCAGCACCACGGACAGCUCCCAGGAGAUCCCAAGAGAGUGGAAGAGGUGUGACCAAGGUCCCUCAGCUG